This 569-nucleotide small RNA is filed under the name Pongo abelii (Sumatran orangutan). Its description in RNAcentral is "processed transcript". The record is from RNAcentral. Lineage: Eukaryota; Metazoa; Chordata; Mammalia; Primates; Hominidae.
CCGGAAGGGGCAGGUCUUGUAGGCGAGUCCAAUCGGCUAGGAGCCUCGUGGAGGCUGAGAUUGCCUCACCUGUGACAUCAGACAUCAUAACAUGGGGCUCACCAAGCAGUACCUACGCUAUGUUGCUAGUGCGGUCUUUGGCGUUAUCGGCAGCCAAAAAGAUUCUUAUCCUUCAGGGGCUUAAACAAGAAGUUACUUGCUUAUGCCCCUCCCCAGAUGGGCUGCACUUAGCUGUUGGGUAUGAGGAUGGGUCAAUCCGAAUCUUCAGUCUCCUGAGUGGGGAAGGAAAUGUGACCUUCAAUGGUCACAAAGCAGCUAUCACUACCUUGAAGUAUGAUCAGCUAGGAGGCAGACUGGCAUCUGGGUCCAAGGACACAGAUAUUAUUGUAUGGGAUGUGAUCAAUGAAAGUGGUCUGUACCGUCUAAAGGGGCACAAGGAUGCCAUCACACAAGCGUUGUUUCUACGAGAAAAGAACCUGCUAGUUACUAGUGGGAAAGAUACCAUGGUGAAAUGGUGGGACCUUGAUACUCAGCACUGCUUUAAAACAAUGGUUGGCCACCGGACUGAG